Molecule: ribosomal RNA, 534 nt
Filed under: uncultured bacterium
Lineage: Bacteria
Description: bacterial SSU rRNA
Rfam family: Bacterial small subunit ribosomal RNA
Source: RNAcentral
AUUAGAGUUUGAUCCUGGCUCAGAUUGAACGCUGGCGGCAUGCCUUACACAUGCAAGUCGAACGGCAGCACGGAGCUUGCUCUGGUGGCGAGUGGCGAACGGGUGAGUAAUAUAUCGGAACGUACCCUAGAGUGGGGGAUAACGUAGCGAAAGUUACGCUAAUACCGCAUACGAUCUAAGGAUGAAAGUGGGGGAUCGCAAGACCUCAUGCUCGUGGAGCGGCCGAUAUCUGAUUAGCUAGUUGGUAGGGUAAAAGCCUACCAAGGCAUCGAUCAGUAGCUGGUCUGAGAGGACGACCAGCCACACUGGAACUGAGACACGGUCCAGACUCCUACGGGAGGCAGCAGUGGGGAAUUUUGGACAGUGGGCGAAAGCCUGAUCCAGCAAUGCCGCGUGAGUGAAGAAGGCCUUCGGGUUGUAAAGCUCUUUUGUCAGGGAAGAAACGGUGAGAGCUAAUAUCUCUUGCUAAUGACGGUACCUGAAGAAUAAGCACCGGCUAACUACGUGCCAGCAGCCGCGGUAAUACGUAGGGUG